RNAcentral lists this ribosomal RNA (453 nucleotides) under uncultured bacterium. Its description in RNAcentral is "bacterial SSU rRNA". It matches the Rfam family "Bacterial small subunit ribosomal RNA", at positions 29 to 524 of the family's 1533-position model. The record is from RNAcentral.
AACGAACGCUGGCGGCAUGCCUAACACAUGCAAGUCGAACGAUGGCUUCGGCCAUAGUGGCGCACGGGUGAGUAACGCGUGGAAACCUGCCUUUUGGUUUGGGAUAACUCCGGGAAACUGGAGCUAAUACCGGAUGAGCCCGAGCAAUCGGGGAAAGAUUUAUCGCCAAAAAGAGGGGCCCGCGUCCGAUUAGGUAGUUGGUGGGGUAACGGCCUACCAUGCCUACGAUCGGUAGCUGGUCUGAGAGGAUGAUCAGCCACACUGGGACUGAGACACGGCCCAGACUCCUACGGGAGGCAGCAGUGGGGAAUAUUGGACAAUGGGCGCAAGCCUGAUCCAGCAAUGCCGCGUGGAUGAUGAAGGCCUUAGGUUGUAAGUCCUUUCGGCGGGGACGAUGAUGACGGUACCCGCAGAAGAAGCCCCGGCUAACUUCGUGCCAGCAGCCGCGGUAAU